Molecule: transfer RNA, 72 nt
Filed under: Ictiobus bubalus (smallmouth buffalo)
Lineage: Eukaryota; Metazoa; Chordata; Actinopteri; Cypriniformes; Catostomidae
Also listed under: 5 other names
Description: tRNA-Tyr
Rfam family: tRNA
About the family: Transfer RNA (tRNA) molecules are approximately 80 nucleotides in length. Their secondary structure includes four short double-helical elements and three loops (D, anti-codon, and T loops).
Source: RNAcentral
GGUAGGAUGGCCGAGUGCUAUAGGCGGUGGGUUGUAGCCCCGAAGACAGAGGUUUAAGUCCUCUUCCUAUCA